Molecule: ribosomal RNA, 299 nt
Filed under: uncultured bacterium
Lineage: Bacteria
Description: partial 16S ribosomal RNA
Rfam family: Bacterial small subunit ribosomal RNA
Source: RNAcentral
GUUCCUACGGGGGGCAGCAGUGGGGAAUAUUGCACAAUGGGCGCAAGCCUGACGCAGCGACGCCGCGUGCGGGAUGGAGGCCUUCGGGUUGUAAACCGCUUUUGUUCAAGGGCAAGGCACGGUCUUUGGGCGUGUUGAGUGGAUUGUUCGAAUAAGCACCGGCUAACUACGUGCCAGCAGCCGCGGUAAUACGUAGGGUGCAAGCGUUAUCCGGAUUUAUUGGGCGUAAAGGGCUCGUAGUCGGUUCGUCGCGUCCGGUGUGAAAGUCCAUCGCUGAACGGUGGAUCCGUGCCGUGUAC